RNAcentral lists this ribosomal RNA (748 nucleotides) under uncultured bacterium. RNAcentral's name for it is "bacterial SSU rRNA". It matches the Rfam family "Bacterial small subunit ribosomal RNA", at positions 59 to 818 of the family's 1533-position model. The record is from RNAcentral.
CAGUCGAACGGACUUUUCAUGAAGCCUAGCGAUUGAAAAGUUAGUGGCGGACGGGUGAGUAACGCGUGGGUAACCUGCCUUGUACUGGGGGACAACAGUUGGAAACGACUGCUAAUACCGCAUAAGCGCACAGCUUCGCAUGAAGCGGUGUGAAAAACUCCGGUGGUACAAGAUGGACCCGCGUCUGAUUAGCUGGUUGGUGAGGUAACGGCCCACCAAGGCGACGAUCAGUAGCCGGCCUGAGAGGGUGAACGGCCACAUUGGGACUGAGACACGGCCCAAACUCCUACGGGAGGCAGCAGUGGGGAAUAUUGCACAAUGGGGGAAACCCUGAUGCAGCGACGCCGCGUGAGUGAAGGAGUAUUUCGGUAUGUAAAGCUCUAUCAGCAGGGAAGAAAGUGACGGUACCUGAAUAAGAAGCCCCGGCUAACUACGUGCCAGCAGCCGCGGUAAUACGUAGGGGGCAAGCGUUAUCCGGAUUUACUGGGUGUAAAGGGAGCGUAGACGGUCAAGCAAGUCAGAAGUGAAAGGCUGGGGCUCAACCCCGGGACUGCUUUUGAAACUGUUUGACUGGAGUGCUGGAGAGGUAAGCGGAAUUCCUAGUGUAGCGGUGAAAUGCGUAGAUAUUAGGAGGAACACCAGUGGUGAAGGCGGCUUACUGGACAGUAACUGACGUUGAGGCUCGAAAGCGUGGGGAGCAAACAGGAUUAGAUACCCUGGUAGUCCACGCCGUANACGAUGAAUACUA